RNAcentral lists this transfer RNA (61 nucleotides) under Pseudocrangonyx joolaei. Its description in RNAcentral is "tRNA-Pro". The record is from RNAcentral. Lineage: Eukaryota; Metazoa; Arthropoda; Malacostraca; Amphipoda; Pseudocrangonyctidae.
CAGAGUAUAGUUUAAAUAAAACAAAGACUUUGGGAGUCUUAGAUGGUUAAACCUAAUCUGA